GAAGGACCCUGGUAACCACAGAGAGCGAGCCUCGCGUGCACUCCUGGGAAGCUGCUGGGUUUUCUGCAAAAAGGUGUGGCUUCCAGCUCUGCUAGCGAUGGUUGGGGGUGAAGCAAAAAUGUACACACCUGGUGGAUAUGACCUUUAGGGCAUUAUGACUCAAGAGGAAACCUGGGAAGAUACAGAUGUGUGUGUCUGAGAAUGGAAAGGAAUGUGAACAGCAUUAGCAUAUGAGAGAUAAAUGGAGAACAAAGAGAAAAUAGAGAAAACAAAAGGAGAAUCUGUCUAGAGUGGCUUCCAUUAAGAAAAGUUUUAUAAAAGCAUCAGAUAUGAACAGCAAUGGAGGUCUAGAGAUUGGCGUAAGGCCAAUGACAUUGGUCUGGAUGGUAUGCCUAAAUUUAGGAUGACUUUUGUGACAGAACGGAUUGAGUAGAAUCUUGAAGAAGUUUCUCUUCCUCGUCACUGAAGGGCUUACUUACAUGGACCAUUGGCAAUGUUGAGAAGUAGAAACAAUUUGCUUAUGAUACCUUCCCAUCAACACACUCAACCAAAAUGGAUGCUGUUCUUUGAGAGCUUGAUCUUUGUUAACUGUUCAUUCAUUUAACCAACAUUAACUGUCCAAUUACUAUAUGGCUCGUACCCUUUUAUGCACUGGGGAUAUUUUGAUGAAAAAAAUAGAGAAAAUGCCCGCUAUUGUGGAGCAUGUAUUUUACUAAGUGUGCCCCCAGAAUCAAAAGCUUUUACUGGCACACAGUAUUUUUUUGCAGGGGGGAAGAUUUGCCCUGAGCUAACUGCUGCCAAUCCUCCUCUUUUUGCUGAGGAAGACUGGCCCUGAGCUAACAUCCGUGCUCAUCUUCCUCUACUUUAUAUGUGGGAUGCCUACCACAGCAUGGCUUGCCAAGUGGUGCCAUGUCUGCACCCAGGAUCCAAACCGGUGAACCCCAGGCUGCCGAAGCAGAACGUGCAAACUUAACCGCUGCACCACAGGGCCGGACCCAAACAGUAUUUCUUGAUUGCAAAGGAAUGAUCUUUAAACAGGUGCUCUUGACUAUUCAAAGACUAUCUUAAAGAAUUAAGUCAAAUGAUAGUGAAUUGUAGCAAUCUAUUAUAGUUUAUUACAGGAAAUGUGGUGAUGGUUGACCAUAUCUUUAAAAAUAAUAAAUAUUUCUUGUUAGCCUGUUUUUCUUAUCCAAAAGAAACCUAUUGUAGCUGAAAGAGCCCUGGAUUUGACAUCAAAAGAUAGAGGUUCAAAUUCUAUCUUGCCCUGUGGUGUGCUUUUUGGCAAGUUAUUUUACCAUUCUGAGCAUUUGUCCCCCUUCUCCCCUCUUCUCCUAGGAAAAAGGAGAUUCUAACACUCGUUGAGAAGUAGUGAGAUAAUAUAUUUAGCAGCCUAGGCUGGCCUGGUGCAAAACAAGGGCUCAGCAUAUGGAUGCCUUCUCUGUGGAAAGUGCAAGACCUGAGCAGCUUCAGCAGAGCCCUUGAUCCCAGCAGGAGAGCAUUGGAUAUCCAGAUCCUGCGGCUCUUGGGGGGCUGUGUCCAUGCCCCGUGGGAGGAGAGGGUUGGGGCAGAUGGUGGACCCCAUGCAGCUGCAAUAGCCUGGGGCCUGGCCACUUCACAGCUUGCUUUCCUGAUGUAUGAAGUCCUUCCCUGGAGCCAUUUUCUUGUGAAACAGCCUUUAUUUGCCCACUGUGGUUUGUUUGGAGUGAAAGCUUGUGUUAACUUCCUGCAGGUCUUUUUAAUGACAGACUCCAAUGUCCUCAGGAAAGACAGAGAAAAGCCACUGUGGAGGCACAAGAGGAGAGGCCCCAUGCUGAAUUAUGCUGAGGCUGACGGAGGACUCACACUUGUGUUUUAUAGAAGCUUAAUUUAUUUUUCUCUAUUAUAAAAGUGAAUUACAUUGCUCUUUGUUUCUCUAAUUCAGAGGAAGAAGAACCGUUAGCCACAAAGUAAAGGGUCGAUUAAAAUGACAGUGCUGUGGGUGACUUCCUCCAACCACCCUCAUGGAGGUUUAUUUAGGAUGAUGUAAGAAGGGAGAAGACCUGAGAUAUAAAUUUGGAGCCUCCUGAAUUGUACUUGUAACUGGGGUCACAGAAGGCCAGGAGGAGAUUCAAUUCUCAUUAGCUUCAAUGGGAAAUUUAUGCUGGUCAAAAAAGAAAAUACAAAUAAAUAGACAGCAAAAGCACCUUUCAUUGAAAAGACAUGAGUGAUAUAUGGAUUCAGUACCUCGAGGCAGGAAUAAUGAUUCAAGUUGGUCAUUUCUACUUUAUCAAGAAAGGAGAGAAAAAAAGGAAAAAGAAAGAAGAUAGAGAAAGCAAUAUUAUAUGAUUUUUUUUGUGCUAAAAUUUGAGGCAAAAUAUGUUUAAAAUUAUCUAUUUAUCCCAGUGAUGGAUAUAAUUAUUUAGACAUGUUGACAAUAAAAAUAUCUGUUGUAUGUUGGAAUAUUAGGGCUUUAUGAUGACGGAUAGUAUGUCCUAAAAGCAAUCAAAAUUAUUUUCUUAUCUUAGGCAUUAUCAUAAUGAUACCUAGCAUCCUUGAGAGGAAAGAAAACAUUCCUUGAAAACCACCUUAAUUUUCAUAUAACUUUAAGAAACAUCAGUGAACCAGGCCAAUAAAUUUACUGGAUCCUCUUGUGAUUGACUUAUGAAGGCCUCAGUCUAAAUGACUAUAAUUGCUGAAAAGCAUCCUCACAAAUGGGGUUAAGUAGAAUUUUCUAUCAGCAGAGUUCACCACUUAGCCCUCUUCAAGUGGGAAAAGAUUUUGGAUCAAACUAUUGGAAUUUAGGGUAGAAACAAAGAAAUAAAGCGUCUCCCCGGUAGACAUGAUACAGACG
Molecule: long non-coding RNA, 2830 nt
Filed under: Equus caballus (horse)
Lineage: Eukaryota; Metazoa; Chordata; Mammalia; Perissodactyla; Equidae
Description: lncRNA (ENSECAG00000046078.1)
Source: RNAcentral